GGGCCUGUAGCUCAGACUGGUUAGAGCGCUCGACUCAUAAUCGAGUAGUCGUGAGUUCAAAUCUCAUCAGGCCCA
RNAcentral lists this transfer RNA (75 nucleotides) under Candidatus Altarchaeales archaeon. RNAcentral's name for it is "tRNA-Met". It matches the Rfam family "tRNA". From Rfam's summary of the family: Transfer RNA (tRNA) molecules are approximately 80 nucleotides in length. Their secondary structure includes four short double-helical elements and three loops (D, anti-codon, and T loops). The record is from RNAcentral. Lineage: Archaea; Nanobdellati; Candidatus Altarchaeota; Candidatus Altarchaeia; Candidatus Altarchaeales.